CAAACUGGGAUUAGAUACCCCACUAUGCCUAGCCUUAAACACAAAUAGUUAUAUAAACAAAACUAUUCGCCAGAAGUACUACCGGCAACAGCUUAAAACUCAAAGGACUUGGCGGUGCUUUAUACCCUUCUAGAGGAGCCUGUUCUAUAAUCGAUAAACCCCGAUAAACCUCACCAUUCCUUGCUAAUUCAGUCUAUAUACCGCCAUCUUCAGCAAACCCUAAAAAGGUACAAAAGUAAGCACAAUCAUAGCACAUAAAGACGUUAGGUCAAGGUGUAACCUAUGGAGUGGAAAGAAAUGGGCUACAUUUUCUAAUAUAAGAAAAUCUAAUACGAAAGUUAUUAUGAAAUUAAUAACCAAAGGAGGAUUUAGCAGUAAACUAAGAAUAGAGUGCUUAGUUGAAUUAGGCCAUGAAGCACGCACACACC
Molecule: ribosomal RNA, 428 nt
Filed under: Axis porcinus (Hog deer)
Lineage: Eukaryota; Metazoa; Chordata; Mammalia; Artiodactyla; Cervidae
Description: partial small subunit ribosomal RNA
Rfam family: Bacterial small subunit ribosomal RNA
Source: RNAcentral